CGCAUUAUAUAAUUAUUUUAUCACCUCAUCUGACCAAAUUGGAUAUCAACAACUUGAAUGAAAAUAUAAUAUAUAUAUAUAUAUAUAUAUAUAUAUAUAUAUAUUAUUCAUUACCUAGUGACAUAGACAUAUAUUUAACACGAGUACAUGUGCAAUAUUUAUUCAUUACCUAGUUAUAUAUGAUUGCCUUUAAACUAUAUCACUUAUACAACAUGUGACUUACCACACGACUGAAUAAAUUAUUUAUUUAUAAAAGGCACAUAGUACAAUAUUUUGCCUUAACAAACUUUGUCAAUUUGAUUUAUUCAUUAUACGGUCAUACUUAUACUGUCUUUUAUUGUUAAGAAUUAUUGAGCAACUAGAUCCACUGAUCAACAUUGUUGCUGAUUAAAGAAGUCUACCAACUUAUAAACUGAUAAGCCACGUGCUCAUGGUGACAAAGAUUCAGUCCGAACGGUGAUCUCUUGUCUGACCGGACACCCACUUGCUCAGACACUCGCUUAUUUGGACACAUAUGUGCCUGGACCCAACUCAAAGACCCUACAUAUAGCCCCGACUUGAUGACCUUACGUAUGGCCCCGACUCAAAGACCCAACUUGCGGACCCGAUCCGCGUACCCAAUAUGCGAACCCGAGAAACGGACUCAAAUCAUGUCGAGAAUCAACUUAUAUUGAGUGUACGUUGACAUAAAGUACAUACUAAUAAGGAACACCACGAGUCGAGCCGCCUCACAGCGAGCAUAACCUCUAGCCGAGUAGCCGAGUAAUGAGCAUCGCCUCUAACUGAGCGACCGCCUCGUCGCGAGCAUAGCCUCUAUCCGAGCAGCAUCACAACGAGCAUCGCCUCUAACCGAGCAGUCUCGCAACGUGUGAUACCUCUAGCCAAGUAUUGCUUUAUGUUGAGCAUUACCUUGUGUUGAGUACUGGUUCAGGACAAUAUCUAGUCACUUCGGCUCACACAUGGACUGGAUUUGAAGUCUCCGGCCAAGUUUCUUGACUGAAGACUUGGGGGACUCUGAUUGGUACCAUAUAUUGGGCAUCGUCUUUGGGCCUCAUUAUUGAGCCCAUAACCCAUGUAAGAGGAGGAAACCCUUACUCUAUAAAAGGGAUCCUUCUCGCCUUCACUAAGGGGAGAAAAACAGAGUCUCACAUCCCUCACAACAAUAGAGAGCAAUACCCUCUCAGCCAAAUAGAGAGCAAAAUGGCAAGGGCUGCAUCCACAGAGAGCUCAUUUGCCGAUUUAUUAUAAUCCAUACAUUCAUACAGUGAAAUGGAAUCAACAUCAGUGUAGACGUAGCCCAAACAUUGGGGUGAAUCACGAUACAUCUUUGUGUUCUUGUGCGUUUGUGUGAUUCACGGUUGGAUUUACGUU
Molecule: long non-coding RNA, 1371 nt
Filed under: Malus domestica (apple)
Lineage: Eukaryota; Viridiplantae; Streptophyta; Magnoliopsida; Rosales; Rosaceae
Description: long non-coding RNA (MDOM_LNC004982)
Source: RNAcentral